GGAACGGUACAACCAAGUGGCCAAGGUGACGCGGCAUGCCAUUGCCGCUGUGCGGAAACGCUUCGCAGGUUCGACUCCUGUCCGUUCCUCCA
Molecule: transfer RNA, 92 nt
Filed under: Caudoviricetes sp.
Lineage: Duplodnaviria; Heunggongvirae; Uroviricota; Caudoviricetes
Description: tRNA-Gly
Source: RNAcentral